Long non-coding RNA from Heterocephalus glaber (naked mole-rat), 1390 nucleotides. RefSeq lists it as uncharacterized. The record is from RefSeq and is a predicted model, not a curated record. NCBI's taxonomy places the organism in Eukaryota, Metazoa, Chordata, Mammalia, Rodentia, Bathyergidae.
UUGCAGAGAUCUUUCUCUGUCCUUUAGAGUCUCGAGCACAGAAAAGGCCCAAGGCUACCUAGUCAGGGUUUUUUUUUUUUUUGCAACGCAACAGCAGUGAGAACGGCAACAGCACCGCGCACGCGCAGCUUGGCCCCGCCCCUCUGCUUCCUUCUCAACCUUGCAGCAUUGGGGAGGCCGUGAUGGCGGGGCAAUCUGACCAAUCAAGAGAGGUAUUCGAGAAGCGCGCGCAAGAGCUCGCAAACCCCGAGGGCCAUGGAAGCGCUGUGGUUAUUUGUGCGCCUGUGCAGCAGUUCGGCGUGUGGCAGGCUGGGGGCAAAAAUUGUAAGGGUGAAGCCGCUGGUUGAAGCGAGAGGUCUGAGGGUGGGGCUCCACCGCUGCGCUCCGCCUCUUUUGCUGGGAGGCGGGGCCCCUCUCUUUCUUAGAGGUGUUAAACUCACAAAACAGGAUCGUGGAAAUUCCCACUGUUCAGGGGCUAACGUUUCCGGCGGCUAUAGCCGCUGCCGCUGGUAACUAGGGUACGGACGCACGACAAAAUGGCUGACAGCCAUUUUACAGCAACACAGAAAGUGCGCAUGCGCCAGGUCCAGCGAGCUAUUUACUACGCAGAGCCUUAUCAAAUGCUACUACAAGCUCGGUUUGGACGGUACCAUUCACAACUAGGGGACCAUUUGGUUUAUAGGAGAGGGAAAAAAUUGGGACGAAAAAUUAUCACGUAAAAUUUUCGAGGCGAGGAAAAAUUGGCAAAAAGUGACCUCACUUUCGCAAGUUGCAACAGAAUCUCACAAAUGUGUAACAGUUUAGAAGAGGCAUGGAUAUCGCUUACGUUGAUUAGCACAGCCCCAGGAUAGUCAUUCCAUCACAUCUGCCUAUGGGCAGAUUUGGAGGUUUCUGCAUUCCCACUGAAAACAUAGAAAAAUUUUUUAAAUUUAUUAGUAGUACGUUUGCACUAUAUAAUGAUUACUUCACCGUGGAUGGCUGGUACAUUGUCCCGCCGUGUAGUUCGGGCUACUCGAACUUGCUAUGUAGUCCAGGCUGGCCUCAAACUUGCAGCAAUCCUCUAGCUUCAGCCUCCCUCCUAAAUGCUGGGAUUACAGAGGGGCUCCAGUCUUCUUCACCUUGGACAUCAUCUUCUAGCUUCCAGUGCAAACUCUUGAGCUUCUGGCCCAGAUCCCUCAGCUUUCUGGCACAGACUCUUCAGUCUUCCAUCAGAGACCCAUCGGCCUUGAGUGGGAUACUGCUGUGAGCUCCAGAGCUUCGAUUAGAUCCUUCCAUCUCUGGUGUGCAGACAGACCCUCUGCACCCUACCUCAUCUGGCUCUGUGGGCAGCCAUUGCAUAUACUUGUGUAUUUUGUUGUAUCUAUUUCCCUAGUAAAUAGUGACUGAUACA